This 340-nucleotide unclassified non-coding RNA is filed under the name Hevea brasiliensis (rubber tree). Lineage: Eukaryota; Viridiplantae; Streptophyta; Magnoliopsida; Malpighiales; Euphorbiaceae. The record is from RNAcentral.
GGGAAUUAUAUCGCAACUGAAAGUUAGAAAGAACAAAUAUAUAUUUAAAAAAAGGAAAAAAUCAGAUCUCAAAUUUUAGAAAAACCGCUUGUGCCUCUCAUCUCAUUAUCAUAUGCAUAAUUCUCUGGGAAAAAGAUUCAAAAUGAACCUACCCACGGAUUGCAAACUUAAAUAAAUAGUAAUAACUUCGCAGUAUCAUAAUAGGAAUGCCAAUGGGCAACUAGAUUUGCAAAUCAAUGAACUACAUCAUUCAUCCACCUUAUUGCUAGUUAAAGCAUACCAUCUGGGGUAAGUCACUGUUAUCAUGGUAAUCUCUUAUUGCCUCUGAGAGCUCAAGCAU